Humulus lupulus (European hop) is the source of this 760-nucleotide long non-coding RNA. RefSeq lists it as uncharacterized. NCBI's taxonomy places the organism in Eukaryota, Viridiplantae, Streptophyta, Magnoliopsida, Rosales, Cannabaceae. The record is from RefSeq and is a predicted model, not a curated record. The transcript has 3 exons.
GAUUAUGGAUUUUGUGUCUAUUUUUAUAUUUUUCUUUCCUUUUUUGUGAUGCAAACCAAGUGUGUGUGAAAAUGCCUCAAUGGACUAAGAUUGUGAAAUUUAGUGAAUGAUUCUUCUAUAGGCUAAUGUAGUUGUUGCUUAUUGUUCUCUAGGCCUUUUUUUUAUUUCAGUUUUAAAUUUGGAAGUAUAUAUUAUGGAAUGACCUAAAUAGUUGAUUCUUUGAAGAUGAAUUUUUUAGAUAAUAUUUUUAAACAUUUUAUUCCUAAAGAUGAUAUGAAUCUUAAUUUUUAUUUUGUUGCUCCUUAAUGAUAAAUUGAGGCACCUAGCCAUUAUGAAGGAAAGUAUAUAGAAUAAUUUAUUGGAGUAUCUCCAAAUGCAGCUCACGGAUAGGGCUAUGGACGAGGUUGGAGGGCUUGGGCUUGCAGAGGGUCAUGGAUGGCUCGGUCUCACGGAGAGGUGAUGGGUCAAAACUUGAAAAACUUGAAAAGUAGGAAACCUCGCUGAACCCAUUAUUUUCAUGUUGCUGACCAACAUGGGAAGGUGGUCAGUACAAUGGCGAUGAAAAAAUGCGACAGGAUGCACUUCGAUUGGCCAUGGAAUACGGGGCUGAUUACAUUGAUGUUGAGCUCCAGGUUGCUCAUGAAUUCAUUCAAUCCAUAGCUGGAAAGAAGCCUGAAAAUUUUAAGAUUGUUGUUUCUUCUCAUAAUUAUCAAAAUACCCCAUCUAUGGAGGAUCUUGGUAAUCUUGUUGCAAAAAUACA